Molecule: ribosomal RNA, 584 nt
Filed under: Salmonella enterica subsp. enterica
Lineage: Bacteria; Pseudomonadati; Pseudomonadota; Gammaproteobacteria; Enterobacterales; Enterobacteriaceae
Description: partial 23S ribosomal RNA
Rfam family: Bacterial large subunit ribosomal RNA
Source: RNAcentral
UCUGUAGCAAGGUUAACCGAAUAGGGGAGCCGGAGGGAAACCGAGUCUUAAUUGGGCGUUAAGUUGCAGGGUAUAGACCCGAAACCCGGUGAUCUAGCCAUGGGCAGGUUGAAGGUUGGGUAACACUAACUGGAGGACCGAACCGACUAAUGUUGAAAAAUUAGCGGAUGACCUGUGGCUGGGGGUGAAAGGCCAAUCAAACCGGGAGAUAGCUGGUUCUCCCCGAAAGCUAUUUAGGUAGCGCCUCGUGAAUUCAUCUCCGGGGGUAGAGCACUGUUUCGGCUAGGGGGCCAUCCCGGCUUACCAACCCGAUGCAAACUGCGAAUACCGGAGAAUGUUAUCACGGGAGACACACGGCGGGUGCUAACGUCCGUCGUGAAGAGGGAAACAACCCAGACCGCCAGCUAAGGUCCCAAAGUCAUGGUUAAGUGGGAAACGAUGUGGGAAGGCCCAGACAGCCAGGAUGUUGGCUUAGAAGCAGCCAUCAUUUAAAGAAAGCGUAAUAGCUCACUGGUCGAGUCGGCCUGCGCGGAAGAUGUAACGGGGCUAAACCAUGCACCGAAGCUGCGGCAGCGAACGUAUCA